Molecule: ribosomal RNA, 432 nt
Filed under: uncultured bacterium
Lineage: Bacteria
Description: bacterial SSU rRNA
Rfam family: Bacterial small subunit ribosomal RNA
Source: RNAcentral
AACGAACGCUGGCGGCAUGCCUAACACAUGCAAGUCGAACGAGACCUUCGGGUCUAGUGGCGCACGGGUGCGUAACGCGUGGGAACCUGCCUUUAGGUUCGGAAUAACAGUGAGAAAUUACUGCUAAUACCGGAUGAUGUCUUCGGACCAAAGAUUUAUCGCCUUUAGAUGGGCCCGCGUUGGAUUAGCUAGUUGGUGGGUAAAGGCCUACCAAGGCGACGAUCCAUAGCUGGUCUGAGAGGAUGAUCAGCCACACUGGGACUGAGACACGGCCCAGACUCCUACGGGAGGCAGCAGUGGGGAAUAUUGGACAAUGGGCGAAAGCCUGAUCCAGCAAUGCCGCGUGAGUGAUGAAGGCCUUAGGGUUGUAAAGCUCUUUUACCCGAGAUGAUAAUGACAGUACCGGGAGAAUAAGCCCCGGCUAACUCCGUG